AUACGUAGGGGGCGAGCGUUGUCCGGAAUGAUUGGGCGUAAAGGGCGCGUAGGCGGCCCGGUAAGUCUGGAGUGAAAGUCCUGUUUUUAAGAUGGGAAUUGCUUUGGAUACUGUCGGGCUUGAGUGCAGGAGAGGUAAGUGGAAUUCCCAGUGUAGCGGUGAAAUGCGUAGAGAUUGGGAGGAACACCAGUGGCGAAGGCGACUUACUGGACUGUAACUGACGCUGAGGCGCGAAAGUGUGGGGAGCAAACAGGAUUAGAUACCCUGGUAGUCCACGCGGUAAACGAUGAUCACUAGGUGUCCGUGGGUAUGACCCAUGGGUGCCGCAGCCAACGCAAUAAGUGAUCCACCUGGGGAGUACGUUCGCAAGAAUGAAACUCAAAGGAAUUGACGGGG
This 396-nucleotide ribosomal RNA is filed under the name uncultured bacterium. RNAcentral describes it as "partial 16S ribosomal RNA". It matches the Rfam family "Bacterial small subunit ribosomal RNA", at positions 523 to 918 of the family's 1533-position model. The record is from RNAcentral.